GAUGAACGCUGGCGGCGUGCCUAAUACAUGCAAGUCGAGCGAACGGACGAGAAGCUUGCUUCUCUGAUGUUAGCGGCGGACGGGUGAGUAACACGUGGAUAACCUACCUAUAAGACUGGGAUAACUUCGGGAAACCGGAGCUAAUACCGGAUAAUAUUUUGAACCGCAUGGUUCAAAAGUGAAAGACGGUCUUGCUGUCACUUAUAGAUGGAUCCGCGCUGCAUUAGCUAGUUGGUAAGGUAACGGCUUACCAAGGCAACGAUGCAUAGCCGACCUGAGAGGGUGAUCGGCCACACUGGAACGGAGACACGGUCCAGACUCCUACGGGAGGCAGCAGUAGGGAAUCUUCCGCAAUGGGCGAAAGCCUGACGGAGCAACGCCGCGUGAGUGAUGAAGGUCUUCGGAUCGUAAAACUCUGUUAUUAGGGAAGAACAUACGUGUAAGUAACUGUGCACAUCUUGACGGUACCUAAUCAGAAAGCCACGGCUAACUACGUG
This 497-nucleotide ribosomal RNA is filed under the name uncultured bacterium. Its description in RNAcentral is "partial 16S ribosomal RNA". It matches the Rfam family "Bacterial small subunit ribosomal RNA", at positions 28 to 507 of the family's 1533-position model. The record is from RNAcentral.